CUUACAGAGUUUAUUGGCAUUCUGUCCACCUCCCCAUCAUGGAAAAAGUCCGUAUUUUUCCCCUCUGGUUUUUCAUGGAGGUGGGCAUACUGCCAACUGGGCUCUGUUGG
This is a microRNA precursor of Gossypium arboreum, 110 nucleotides long. It matches the Rfam family "MIR394 microRNA precursor family". The record is from Rfam. Lineage: Eukaryota; Viridiplantae; Streptophyta; Magnoliopsida; Malvales; Malvaceae.